CCUGGGCAGUUAGUUCAUUUCGGAGUCUGGGCUGCCCUGUCUGCUCUGGGUGGGAUGUUUGAGGUGAAUAAGAGGAAAAGAGUUGAAGAUUCUGGAAGUCUCUUAGAAGUGGCUCUUGAAAGCAGCUGGUAAGGCAGUGUAAAGAGUACUGUGCCUGGAGUUGGGAAAACUGGAAUUCACAAGUGACCUUGGACACUUAUGAGCUAUGUAAACUUCUGUCUGCUGCAAUUUCCUCAACUGUAAAAAUGGAACUACUAGCAUUUUCCUUGCAAGUUAUUGUGAGGAUCAAAUAAGUUUCUGCAUCUGUAAAUUGGGUGAAGAUGGAUGAUUAAAAGAGAUGAUCUCCUUGAAAUUCUUUUAAGUCUAUGAAUCUACUAUUCCUGUAGAAAUGCAUGACAUUCUUAUUCUGUUACCAUCACUUAAUACCUGGAGUUGUGUUAUGUAUCAAAUGUGCAUUUGAAGUAUCCUUUUAGUAUUGAAAGCAAAAUGGAGAAUAUUAUGUUAAAUCUAUACCUGGAGUUCCAUGUCUAGUUUCUGCUGCUUUAUCUCAAAAAGGAUACAAUGAAUAUUUCAUUUAGGGAAAAUCCAAAGAGAGAAAAUUCUAAUAAUACGAAUUAAUAAAUUAACAAAUAAAAAAUCCUGAAGGGCUGAUGGAAAAGUGAUGGUUAAAAAGGGACUUGAUAAAAAUCUAUAAUUGAGAAGUAUAUUUUGCAUAUGCUUAUUUACAUAUAUACUGUCUCUCCUACUAGAAUUUAGAUUACUUAAGUGAAAGGAUAGUUUCAUUUCAGUCACUAUAUAUCCAGUACUACACAUAAUGUAUCUUGCAUAUAGUAGGUUUUUAAAGCAUACUUAUUGAGCAACU
Molecule: long non-coding RNA, 862 nt
Organism: Sarcophilus harrisii (Tasmanian devil)
Lineage: Eukaryota; Metazoa; Chordata; Mammalia; Dasyuromorphia; Dasyuridae
Exons: 3
Source: RefSeq, a predicted model, not a curated record